CUAAGGAGCGGGGACACGUGGGUGGAACGACGUCUUAGCCCACGAUCCGGACAGUAGACCGAAGUGCGGACCGGAGAGGCCCCAGCUGGAGGAGGGAGGUCAGCAGGGAGCCGCUCCUUCCACUGAACGGAGACCUGGGAAUGCCCGGCUCAGGGAAAAUUCCCUACCUAGCCGCAGAUGGAACAAGCCACCGCAGACCACCCGGUUGAGCAACUGGCUCCCUUUCCUACGUGGGUCGGGGGAAGGAGGAUCCGACGACGACGACAAAAAAACAGUGAAGGGAAAAAACCCCUACAAAACCCGGCCCACAAAGCGACCUUCGCGUGAGAAACGGAAAUCUUCGGGACGUCAGCGGAGUGCGAUGUAAUUAAUUUCUCCCUUUGCCCGACAGCUCCCUCUUAGCUUGUGACCGGAAUAGAGGAGCCAAAUAAACCGGAGCAUGCCGGGUAAUGUUUUCAGUGAUGCCGCAGUUAAUGAACCAGGAGGGAAUGUAAAACUGAGAAGCAUUGUUCCAGCAGUCUGCUCUUUAUCAGACUCCUGGGGGAAACGGGAGCAGCAUUCAUUACUUCUGUUCGUUGAAGUCUAAGAAUGCGGCCCUGACUCACGAGGUGACCGAGGCCCAGAGAAGUGAAGCAACUCGCCCGAGGUCCCACGGCAGACGAGCGGCGGAGCCGGGAUGCGAACCCAGCGCCCCGACCCCCGAGGCCCGCGUCUCCUCUUCUCCCUUCCCGGGAGUCGCCCGACACGGAGAUCACUCACGGCUCUGCCAGGCCGCAUCUCCGGCCUGCGCUUCCGCGGGCCUUUCCUCCUCCCCCUCUGAUUCCGUUCUCUCCGAUUCCCGGGCCGUCUGAUUACCUCGGUGUUCUUUCCCUUUUUAACCAUAAACACAAAUCCUAUUAUCUUCCCUCUC
Long non-coding RNA from Ornithorhynchus anatinus (platypus), 910 nucleotides. RefSeq lists it as uncharacterized. The transcript has 2 exons. Lineage: Eukaryota; Metazoa; Chordata; Mammalia; Monotremata; Ornithorhynchidae. The record is from RefSeq and is a predicted model, not a curated record.